UCCUGCCCUCGGAGGAGAAAUUAGGAGGAGCUGGGUGCGCUCCUUUGGUAUCCCAAAUAUUUGACACCUCAUUGGCCUAAAUGCCAUUCGAUACAUUGGUGUAGGCAUUUUCCUCAUUUUAAAGAGUAAAUCUUUCUGCCGCCAAGAACUACCUGCCGGGAAGAAGGCGGUCUUCGAGGUCUUUCACAAUCAACAUCAACCCAGACCUGGAAGUAUUUCUGUUUUCAUAUUUCUGCGAGAUAAUAACAUGCCCGGUGUAAAGGAGGGUGAGUUCCCACCGCCUCCACCCCCGCUGCCGCCCCUCGGGGUUGUGGCUCCAGAGCCCUCCUGCCGCUGAUUCCCAACUAUUUGCUGUGCUCCGCUCCGUGACUGUGAGUCCGCUCCCUCUCUCGCAGAUAUUGACCGAGUGUGAGCCACGUGCCAGGCACAGCUCUAGAGUUCUCCUCCGCGAGCGUGAGGCACACACCCGCCGUCACUCCUCACCA
Molecule: long non-coding RNA, 485 nt
Filed under: Suricata suricatta (meerkat)
Lineage: Eukaryota; Metazoa; Chordata; Mammalia; Carnivora; Herpestidae
Description: lncRNA (ENSSSUG00005002012.1)
Source: RNAcentral